GGGACAGAGAGGGGGACAAAAUAAGUUUUUUAGUUUAAAUGUUGUGUUGUUGCCCUCUUGUGAAGGUUUUAACGCUUGUAAGAAGGCAGAGUUUAAUGCAUGUCUUUUUUUUUUAAAAUAAGAACUUCUGCUUAACCAGUAAACACUCUUUUAUUUCUUUGCCUGCUGGUAUUCUGUCUUGCUCUUCACGGAAACCCUAUUUUAAAGGCAGAGUUGCUUUCUCAGGGCGCUGGCGUGAAUGGGACGCACUCCCCGCUUGUCUUUCCAAAACCACGGACACGCACACCCGCAGGGGAAACGAGCCUGGACAGCAAUCCUGCCUGCAGUGAUCUCCCAGCAGCCUUCUGAGGUGAGCCACCGUGGCGACUUGCAUGAGGAACUGAAGCUUAAUUUUAAUCGUGUGUUUCUGUCACUAGAGGUUUGGCGCUUCCUGUGAGCCCUAAUUGGGUAAGAUAUCUAUCUCUAUAGAUGAAUGUGUGCAUUAACUGCGUUUUGGUGCAAGGAUUGUGAAAUGUAUUUUAAUCGAGAGUAAGCUUGUGGCAGAGCAAAGCUCUGCCCUUUAUAAAUUGACAGGGAUGGGGUUGAAUUCCCCUGGGUUUGUGUUCGGGUGGCUGGGGUUGAUUAGUUUAAUGAAUGAUCAAUCGGCACCCAGCCACCUGACAUAAAAAGAGGCCUCUCUCCCUAAUGGGAAGCAGGGAGCUGAGGAAGCAGGUUGGUUGUGUUUGCUGAUCUUGGUUUGAAUUUUUUGAUCCAGUGAGGGCAUCGCCCAGCCUGGAAAUCUAAGUUUUGUUGUUUGUGUUUGGUAACAAGUGUCUCUGGGCCUCUCCACUCGCCAGCCUGUCACAAAGCUUCUCUUCAGGUAGCUGGUAAGUCUUGUGAAUCUUUCUUUGUUUAAUGAUUCUUUGUGGCGCUGGAUCUGUUUUAAAAGGCAGGUAACGCAUUAAUGCAAAUGUGUAGUUUUUUUUUUGUUUUACCCUCCUGUCUACUCCAGAAACUAACAGCUUUGUGCAUAUUCAUUUUUUGGGGGAGGGGAUGCUUGUGUUUUUAAAGCACGCUGCUGUUUGACAGUGAUCUUGUAUGUAUUUUCAGAUGACGUUUUGAAUGCAUCCUGUGUUUGGGAAGACUGGACUUCGGAUUCCUGGUUUGUGUGGCUGAUCUGGAGCUGGCCUCAGUUAAGAUGAGUAUUCAUUUAUUUUCCAUGCAUGGCCAGUUUUCUUCAGCUGAAAUAUCAGUUUGUUUCCUUAUACUAAAGCAUUGGAGUUGCUGUGUGUUUUUGGUGGGUGUAGUGGUAGAACAGUUUAGUGAAUGCUGGUGUAGCUAUAGCAGCAGCCCAUGGUAACUGUAAACGCUUUACUGUCUGCUCUGCAUGCUGCACUGUGGGGGGCGAGUUGUGCACUUUGCUAAGUUGGCCACGUUGCUGUUCUUGCACCAGUUCACUCUGUUUUUUGUCUCUCUGCAGACUUGUGGCUCUGACGCCCCUCCGAGCCAGUUUGAAGGUUUGACUUUGUUUUUGAUUGGUUUUGUAGCUGUAUAGCGAUGGCAGUUGACUGACUCUGGCUGUAGGCAUUGAAGUGACGCUUUUCAGAUGAAAGCGAAUGCUAGUGUCUGAGGUGACAGUCCUGUGGCGAGCGUGUCGAUCAUUGACUUGACUAGCUGGUGUGUCUUGGUUUCUCUGUGGCCUGCAGGGUGAGGAAUGCAGCGUCUACAUGCCUCUCCUCUGAAGAGGAGCAGCCAGGUCUGAACUCCAGUGUGGGUUGUGUGAGACCCUGGAAGUACAGCACAGGUAGUGUGGCUUGUGGAAGACUUCUUUGGCUGGGUGAAGAUCUUUUAUCCUGGGGAACUGCAUGGAAGGUAAGUGCUUGUAUUUAGUUGUGCAGUUCGAUUUGUGUUGAAGCAAUGCUGCUGUCUCUUGACGCUUCAGACUUGUGGUGUUUUGAGUCGACGCUCUUAUAGCAUAACAAACGGACGCUACUAUAGUUCUGGGUGUCUGUGCCCAGACUGGCAGUGUAAUCUGCAGUUGCAUUGUUAAUGAUAGUGUGAUUCCCCCCCCCCUUUUUUGUAGUUAAUUUGGUUACUGGGGCUGUGUGCAAACCUGUGACUUAGGUGUUCAUACAUGUACUAAUUGUGUUUGUGUGGAGUUGCUGGUAGCACCCCGGGGUUUGUCUGACUGCAGAGUGUGGGGUCUGUGUGCUGAUGCUGCUGUUGUGUUGCAGGGCUGGAGAGGAGAGUCCUGUACUUCUGCAAGACUUGAAGAAUGAAAAGUUAAGUAUAUAUGUUCUGCUUCCUUCUGUGGUAAUGCAAAUGAAGUGUAGCUACAUGUCAAAGUAGUGCAAGUUUCUUCUUUCCUGUAAAAUUGUCUGUAAAUAGAGGUUCUUUAUUUAAAGACAUGCAUGUAAUGUUGCAACAGAUGCCUUCUGUGCAUCUAGCAGCAAUGCAUUUGCAGCUAUUGUAACUAUUUUCAGAUGAAGUGUUUGCAAGACCUGUAUUUGAAAGUGCAGUGAAGUAAGCAAAUCUUUGAUAUGAGCAUUGUAGUGUUUGUAAGUUAACGGGAGUCCCAAUGUUGCAUUGGGAGCUGUGUUGCCCUGUUUCUGGUGGUGGCUCCUGUCUGCACACUGACGGGGAGGUGACUGUUUUGACUGAAGUGCAUUUUAGAGAUGUAACGUGUGUUCCUGGGUUUGCUUUGCAGAUGCCUGAGUUGGUGUUCUGAAGACUUUCUGCUGUGCUCAUCCUGUCCAGCUCUGAAGGACUUGUUUUUUUUUUUUUGGCAGCAAGAUAAUGGAUGUGUGUUUUUGGGUUGCCUUAACUUUUUUUUGAAGCGCUGCAAUUGUGUGGGAGUCUUUGCCAUGUUAAACUUUCUGUGACACUCUGUAUUGGACAGUGGUAGGACUUGCUGUGUUUUUUGCAGAUGUAAUUGGUUUUUGAAUGCUGGAGUUUGCUUUGCAGCUUGUUUGAGGAUUUGACAGAGCAGCUUCAGGACUGAGGUGAGUGGUUUUGUUUUUAUGAUUGGUGUGUAAUGUUAGGCUAGUGUACUUUAUUGCCCAAUGCUAUGACUUGUGCUCAACAGCCUUCUGUUUUGUAUUUCAUGUUCAAUGUUUGAUUUUGUAUGUACUAUCAGAGCUUGUGCCUGAUUCCAUGGUAUUUGUAUAAUGCAAAGAUGUUUUGACAUUCUUGUAUAUUUCCUUAUUUUGCAAUAAAGCUUUUCUAAAGUGAUUUGUUGUGGUUCUGUUUAAUUUCAGCUUUUCAUGAAAAGCUGAAGGGUGAUUUGAGUGUUAGUGAGCAGUGUUUUCCUUUGGGUAGGAGUCUGAGUGUGCUUGGGUGUUGUGGGCAGGUUAGGAUCCUUGGGUUUUGAGUGGUGUUUUGGAGGGGUUGAGGCUCUUAUCUCCCAGUUUGGGAGAUCUGUUCUGCCCCUACUUGUAGUAAUUAAACAAUCUCCCAAACUGGGAGAUAAGAGCCUCAAUGUUUCUCUCCUGCUGGCCAGUACUAGUGCUGCAUCCACUUGCACAGAGGGGUGGGGUCUUUAAAAUAUGACUCUUCCUGCUUGGUCAAGUGGGUUUGUUCUGCCCCACCUUACCUUGACCCCCUGUCUUCAUGUCAAGGGGCUCAUACUCUGCUCCCUGUCCUCAGCCUAUGAGGGUCUCUUCCUC
This is a long non-coding RNA of Polyodon spathula (Mississippi paddlefish), 3644 nucleotides long. RefSeq lists it as uncharacterized. The transcript has 3 exons. The record is from RefSeq and is a predicted model, not a curated record. Lineage: Eukaryota; Metazoa; Chordata; Actinopteri; Acipenseriformes; Polyodontidae.